CAUCAUGGGGAGGAGGUUUUUUUCGUGGUUUUGGGGGUUUCCGCCGCCAGAGGGGAGCAGAGGGGUUUUUGGUUCGGCGUCUCCAGGCCAUCGGGGUGGUUGCUGGGAGGCUUGGGGGUCCUUUUGGCCGCCGCUAGGAGGAACAAUAUGUGCAACCACCUCUCUUCGCCUCGUCCUUGUCGGCCGCCUCUAGCGGGCACCUCCGCCUUCGCCUCUGGUGGGCAUUGCAGCCCGCGGGCGUCACCGCUCCUACCUCCCGUGGACGCCGGUUCCAGCAGACAUCGCCGAUGGGAAGUGCGUGCGUCUCCGGCGAGCAUCGGGGCAGCCUUCAGCAGGCGAUGCCGCCAGCGGGUCUCCGCUUCUAGUAGUCGCUGACAGCCGCCAACACCUCCUCCGCUGAAAGUGGACCUCCGCUCCCAGUGAACCUCCGUUACCAGCGAGCCCAGUCGCCAGUGAGCCUCUGCCGCGAGCGGGCUGCUGCUGGUUAGUGCUCGUCUACAUCUCUAGCGGUCGCCGAUGGCACCUCCCAGCUACCGACGACGUCUCCAGUCGUCGCCGCCGCCGUCUCUGCUCCCAGCGACCACCACAGCCGCCUCUAGCGGCUGUCGUCACCUCUUUCGGCACACACCGCCACCUACAGCGGCUGUCGCCGCUUCUCGCGGCUACUGCUGCCUUCGGCGGCUGCGGGGGUCGCCGCCGACACCUCCGGGCAACCGCCGUCCAAGUGCUCAGGUAUCAUACUAUUUGUAUAUUCCGGCCUGCGAGCCGAGAGUGUGUUCGACCUUCGUGCCGUGGUUAUAUUCCGCCCUGCGUGCCGCUGUUGUAUGCUAGCUUGCGAGCCGAGGCUGUAGUCGAACCGUGCGUCGCCUUGCGGAUCCAUAUCGUGCCCGGCUUCGAGCCACCGAAGCCAGCUACUCGCCUGGUGGAUAUUUAUCUACUAUUCAGGGUCACGACGACUCGAUCAGCUCACUCACCUAUCCGAGGGCGUCCCCCCGGGGCCAGGGUAUGCUAUUGCUUUCAUAUUGUAUUUAUUUCACUGUUUCAUUAUUAUUUGGUUGCUCAUAUAUUUGUGGGAUUGCCUCGAGCACCAAGGUACCAGAGACCGGGGCAACCCAGUCACUGGAUACAAGCACUGUUGAUCAGAAGACUUCGGACGACUUGGUCAACACAGGAGACAGCUCAUCAGCCGGGUCAUGAGGAUGCGGUCAACCUUCCAGGCACGUCACAUCGGCAGGUUCGUCUUCUCAGCUUCACGAAAUGAUCAAAUUGGCACCGUCUGUAGGAACGCACCUGGUCAGGAACGUGAAGAUGGACGACGCCGGAAAAGUCUACCAUACUAAUGACCUCGGUUUAUUUGGAAAGGAUUGCUAAGGACACAUAGCUAUGUUGGGGUUGACCUUGCUGCUUUCUGUUUUGAUGUUGCUCUCUGCUGUAUACGUGAAAGCUGCCAUCCAAAUUAUGAAUUUUUUAUCUUGAUGUAACCAAACAAUUGUGUGAAGUUUUUUGUAUGUCUCAAACAAGUAGACUUUGCUUCUUUUGUGGUGUUUUCUUAUUGACAGUUUUAUUUAGAGUUCUCUUUUGUGACAA
Zingiber officinale is the source of this 1587-nucleotide long non-coding RNA. RefSeq lists it as uncharacterized. The transcript is spliced from 2 exons. The record is from RefSeq and is a predicted model, not a curated record. NCBI's taxonomy places the organism in Eukaryota, Viridiplantae, Streptophyta, Magnoliopsida, Zingiberales, Zingiberaceae.